UUUCCGUAGGUGAACCUGCGGAAGGAUCAUUAUUAUAUAACCGAGGUGAGAGGCCUGUCGCUGACCCGAAAGGUCGUGCCCGCAGGAGUGCCCUCAAACACAUCCAUCCCACCCCUAUGUGCACCACCGGGUGGGUCCCCCUUUGCGUGGUACGGAGGGGGGCGGACGUUUUAUCCCAAACUUUGUAUCAUGUGACGCCUGUAUUUUUUGUUUUUGCGAUCGUGCAAUCAAUACAACUUUAACCAAAGGAUCUCUUGGCUCUCGCACGGUUGAAGAACC
Molecule: unclassified non-coding RNA, 279 nt
Filed under: plant metagenome
Description: partial contains small subunit ribosomal RNA, internal transcribed spacer 1, and 5.8S ribosomal RNA
Source: RNAcentral